Long non-coding RNA from Mercenaria mercenaria, 9231 nucleotides. RefSeq lists it as uncharacterized. The transcript is spliced from 3 exons. NCBI's taxonomy places the organism in Eukaryota, Metazoa, Mollusca, Bivalvia, Venerida, Veneridae. The record is from RefSeq and is a predicted model, not a curated record.
GAAAAUGACCACACUUCUGUCAGUAACAGAAGACAGAAACAAUGAUACCCCUCCCUUUUGCAUAGUCCUUAUUUUGAUUAAGGAUGACACAUUGGUGACAAAAUCAAGCCUAGUGUUAGCCAACCUGACAUUCUUGAUAUUCUGAGCUAAAUGUUAUUCUUCGCAACAAGAAGGUCUACAUGAAUCGGAGGUAGGCUUAGUCAUUACUGUGCAAUACUCAGUCUGUAAAAAAUUGUUCUUCAUUCACAGAUUCGUAGACGUAUUGUCCCAUUAAUACGGCAUGCUCGGUGUUUAACCGUGUAUAGCAAAUCUGGUAGCCAGUUUGUUCCGACAGUCCACACCAUCGUGUUCACCCGAGACACUUUCCACUUGUUGUUCAUCACAUAUCCCAAAUGGUCAUACAUAUUAUACAAUUUAUGUCGGGUCUACAGACAGAACUACGUCGACACGAUACAAAUAUACUUAUUUUCAUUCUAUCUAAAUUUUAGCAGUAUAAUCUUAUUAAAAGGCAAUCUAUUCUAUAGUUAUGUAGUAGAAAAUAUUAAAUAUAAAAGAUUUGCCUGACACGUGUAUAAAGGUAUAAAGAGAUUAAAGGACCGGAAUUAGAGAAUUGAAUUAUUUCUGUGCACAGGGCUUGGCUCGGGAUUUACGUGGAUUCCUCCGGGACAAGUUCCUUGCCGCGCGGAAUAUUAUCUUUCGGAAAAGUGUUAGUGAUUUUUCUGCCAGUGUUCCAUUAUUUGAUGCCACGUCUCACCGACAAAUCGAUUCGCCAUUGUUCUGUCCAGGGUAAUCCCUCCCUUCGACAGUUUGACUGAUUAUUUGACUCUUCUUCUUUGCGAAUGGCUAAUUAUAGUCUUGAUAGGGGCUCUUUAUUAGGGUUUACGGGGGUUUCCCCGAGAGAAAACGUGUAUCAAACACUAGCGUGCUAUUCCCACGUCUUAUGUCCAAUUAAUUUGCUUCUAGGUUUUUGACUGACGGGACUUUGCAUGCGCCAUUUGAUAACACUGAUUAAUGAACGACUUGGGGUCAUUUGCAUUGAUUUUUGCCUGCAACAAAUGAUUGUCGUUAAAUUUACGACAGCAAAUUUUCCAUUGACAUGUGUAUUCAUUUCUGGCAGCCGAGCCAUUAGUUCCCGAUGAUCUAAAAUGGAUUAUUUCAACGAAACCUUAUGAAAUUUUAUCAUUAACGUAUUAUGGUUUGAUUAGUUUCUCACGUUGAACGUGGCUAAAUGUUGGGUCAGUUGGAGUGUAUACUUUUACGUAAAUAAAAAGAACUGUGUAGUCGAAUAUGCAUGACGAUAAAAAAACAGAAGUGAUAAAUCGUACAUAAUUCAACGUCUUGCAAUAUAAAAGUGCUCUUGGCAGUUUUCCUAUAUUCUGUCAGUGGUAACUCCUCUCAUCUGUUAUCUUGCAAAUGCUCAUGGAAGCGUGUCGAGUGUUUUACGCAUUAUAUAUCAAUUAAUGACUUGUUCUUUGACAGCUGUUUAUAUAACGCGUGUGAUGAUUGGUUGGAAUCGCCAAAAUGUCUCAUGGGGCGGGGCUAGUGUCAAUUGCGGAAAUACGGUAUCAUCUUUUUAGAGAAAAAUAACUAGGUCGGCAGUAAAUAUGUAUAUCUUGGUGUGGAUUAAUUCCAUUCAAAUGCUUGACGUGACCGUAACAAAGUCAAGCCAUUAGGCACGCAUGCAUUGUACGGACUAUCAUUUCAUGGAUUUAAUGAAGCAUGUGUUCGGGGAUAUAUGUGGUACUUGAAUAUUUUGUGGAGGGAAUGAUGUUGACCUUGUCCGCCUGGAUACCUGGUUAUCCUGGUUGAAAAAAGGGAGAGUCACAGAAUGAUCAAACAGUCAUGCAGCAAAUGAGGAUGCGUGAACGAAGUUUAGGCAAAUUUUGCUGAUAUGAAGUUCUGCAAAUAGACCAGGUAUCAAGGUGGGGCAAUGAAGAUAAGUACGGAUGCAUUUCGAAUGGUCAAUACAAGUCUACUGGGCUAGGGAGAAUCGCUUUAGAAUAUGACCGUUGUGUCAUCGUAAAACGACCAAAUCCACUUACAAAAUUAUCAUGGUAAUCUUGAAUGUGUAUUUUUUUAAAUACUUAAUAAUUAUUUUAAUUUACUUUUGAAAUCCUUAUCAGUAUAAUAACUCAUGAAACUUGAGGAAAGGAAACGUUCACUCUAAAUGACAUAUUUUAAAAUGGCAUAUUAAUUAGUACCAAAUUUACAUGCUCAUUGAAUGUACAUGAGAUGAUAAUCUUAGUAAGGAUGUGUAGUGUUCAUGGAGAAAAUCCAUGUAUUUAUCAUGUAACAUCGAAGCGAAAAUGACAAAAUAAUAUUGGACGAAGUGAUGCAAAGAACCCAUUUAUCUUAUAUGGCAAAUGAUUUACGAAGACUACCUUUUAGAUCUGAUUGCACUGGCAGACAAGACACGGGAGAAUAGGCAUCUGCAUUUCAAUAUAUUUACCUCUUAUAAUUUUUGGAAGAAGUUUUCGUCGUGACAACCGCUAGAAUGUAACUUUUGUUAUGCAUUUUGAAAAACAGUACCCAGAUAUCAGCAGUAAGUUUUGGCAAUGAAGUUUUGUUUUGACAUUUAACAAUGAGCUGCGUGACAGUGAAAUUAAAGAACAGAGACGCACUGCCGACGAAGAUAUAAAAAUGGGAAGACAAAAUGAUCCAUUUGUAUCCCUGGGACGUGAAUCUGAAUAUGCAGAAAACAUGUUUGUUGGAUCAUUAGAAUACUGAGUGAGCUGUAGCCAGUUGUGAUAAAAAUAAGCUGUCUUUAUUAAAAUUUGUUCAAAGCAAGGAGCAUCUCCGUGUGUUUUGUAUAUCUAAGGAUAUUAUAUUGUUUGUAACACAAUGUAUGACGACUUCUACUUACCAAACACUAUAUAGCUUUUAUCUGUCUGCAUUUUAAAUGUAAUAGAUAUUGCUGUUUGGACUUAAAAGCGCUUGUAACAUAAUGUAAUUACACUUUGAAAAAAAAAUCAUUUUUUUUUUUUCAAGAACGUCCGAUUACAUGAAUUGUAAGGGUUUUUUCUGGUUUAACAAACUUUCAAGAUACAAAUAUUUCUUCAGAAGUUCUUAAAAAGCUAUCAUGACAUUCAGUUCUCAGCUCUAGUUUAAUUGCUUCUCUUAUUUUAUGAAACAUAGUUUUGUCUGUCAGACUGUUCACUACUGUUUCAAUAUGAUUGUGAAAUAUGUCCAAGCUUGUUGACAAUUCUACAUCGGUGUAUGUCUCUAUAUUUAAUUCAUUCCACAGGCGUCAAUAAAAGUAUGCGUUUCUUUACAAAAUUAAUAAUGAAAUACGAUAUUCCGUUUUCAAUAAUUGAUCAAUGCAGAUACUUCCACUAAACUGAUCCGCAAUUCUCAAUAAUCAUAAUUAUCAUCGUAUGGUUAAAAUAUUUUAUCAUAAUAAAUGUACAGAAAGGUAUAUGUCAGGAUUCAAACGAGGUUCAUACUCUGCCAACACAUUGUUAUCAUUUCUUGGUAGGCUGUGCUAUAUAUAGAAAUAUUUCAAGGACGAAAAGCAAUUAAACAAGGCAGAUCAACGGAAUCUGUCAGAUAAUAAAAUUAAAAAUAAUGACACAUUAACUUGAAACUGGUAGUUAUGUUGUGUUUUUUUCUAAAUCUCAAUGCAAAAUUAACUGUAAGUCUCAACAUUGUUCAUAGAUAAAUAAAUCAUUGAAUACAUAUUUUGUUGUUCUGAAAUAGUAGAAAAUCGAAUUAUUUCUAUAAAGUGUCAGUUUUACUUACUUUUGAUGCAUUGUUUUUCAUUUGCAGAAUAAAGUUAAGAUUAUAAUGUUAUUGUGUGUUUGCGUUUAUAAAAAUACGCAAUAAUGUGAAAGUCCUUAAUAUCCCAUUUUUGUAAAUAAUACAGGGAAUUAUAUCAAAAAGAGAUACACGUAUUUUGCAACAUAAAAUGUGUAAAGAAAAAUUCAUAAUUAUGUACAAUAAAAAUUUUAACAUAAUAAUUAGAGCAAGAUGUAUAGUCUGUUAUGGUUCUAUGAACAGGAAGUAAUGAACUAAAACCGUUAUUAUGCUUGAUAUGCAUUACAUAUGACAAAUAUAUGAACCAUAAAACCGCCAACAUUGACAGUGUUAUGUUCUUAGAUAAAUGACAUGUGCUUAUAUUUUUUAAGAACCACUGAGGUUGUGUUCAGGAUAGCAAAUUAAUAGAGCUUGAAGAUUUUAAACUGGUUUUCUCCUGGCACGACUGCGAGAACAGUAAGGUCUCUGCUCCGCAGUAAAAUUACUGUAAAAUUGUUCUUCUCCAGUGACCUUUUGUUCUGUUUGCUGUUUGCAUAUGAAUGAUUGCACGUGUAAGUUGUGUUCAUGAAUAUUAAUCUUGGGGUUUUAUGAAUACGACGGAAGACACAUAAAACAUAGCGAACAAUUAUUUGUUUGCAGCCAAGGAACCUUAAUAUUCAAAACAUAUUUGGUAUUAUAUGAUGUAAAAGAUGAGAGAUAGUCUUUGAAGUCAUAUCCAUCAGGAGAAAAAAUAAAUUCAACCUUUUUGUAUUUCAAGGGAUGUUAAAGUGAAUGCCAGAUAAAGUUUAAAGAGAAGGAGUUGUGGAUAAAUAUUCUGUGUGACAGAUAAUAACGUUUAUUUCAUAAUACCAAAGUGAUCAAUAUUUUCUCAGCUAGAUAUCUUUUACAUAAUUUGAAUUAUACAUGAAAAACCACAAGCAAAUAUAUUUACUGAACACAAUAUAACUACAUUAGAUUAUGGCAAGGUUUGUGAUACCUAAAACCUAAUAUUUGAUAUAAUGUCUUUGUAUCAGUAGGUAUCAGUAUACGUAUACUGUAAGUAAAAAAUAUAAGCUGUGCAGCAUAUUUGAUUAAGGCCGCGAAGUAAUGGUAAUUCAACAUUCUCUAUACAUUAGCUAGAUUUACGAUGAGUAUGGCUAAAAAUACAAUCACACCUAAACUUCCAUGCAAACGUCAAAUGCAAGAACAGCAAUCAUCAAAUGUUUAGCAUUAAACUAUCAUAUUUUUUUGACUAUGGAGUUUAUUCUAUACAUUUUUUUUAACAUUGGUUAUGCAAUAUAAUCAUUAUUAGAUAGCAUUAUAAUUAUAUAUUGUUUUUCCAUAAUGGUAGAAUAAUGCUGCUUGCAGGAACAUAGUGAUCAUGACCAAAUACAAUGCUUCCAUCAGGUGAAAUAAAAACAUAAAUCAAACAUUAAAGAGUACAGAUAAAGUACUUUCGAAAGAAUAAGCACUUGAUAGUCAGCAAAAUGUAACAGCAUACAGCAUUGCACAUGACUACUAAUCAAGUGUUGCUUACUGAAAUCAGUGUUACUAUUUUCAAAGAAGGUGAGGUGACCUGUUGACUAUGUACAAGUGAAUGAAUAAAAUUCAUCGGUGUGUAACAUUCAAGCGGAGACGUUUAUCCAUUGAAAAUCAAAGUGAAUUCAGCCAGGUAAACGAAUGUGACUUUUUUUUAUGACUUAUUUAUACCAAACCGAUGAUAGGAAUUUCCUUAUUACAACAAAUAUAUUAGCAUCGCAGAUAUUUUUCUAUUAUUUCGCCAUUCCAAUCAUUUUAUAAUUUACUUUGAUCAUCGCUUUAUUUAAUUGUUAUUAAACGAAAUGAAAGAAAAUGCAGUUUUCGCGUUAUGUAUUGAUACGAAUAUUAUACAAUUAUUGCCUUUUGGUGAGGUUGAUACGUGAAUUUAUCGACCUGAUAAAAGCGAUAUCGACCGAGGGCACAGCCCGAGCAUGAUAUCGCUUUUAUCAGGUCGAUAAAUCCACAUAUUGACCCAACUUAAAAAGGCAACAAUUGUUUUAUUAUUAAAUCCAGCCUACUCAAAAGUAUAAACUUUAAAUACAAAUAUCUGCAGCCUUUGGUCAUUUUUCGUGGUAAAUUGUGACGACGUCGCAUUGUUUUGACGUCAAACCGUGAUGACGUCACAGUUGGAGAUCAAUACGUGUUUUUUGCUCGACCUUGGAGUCAAUACGACUUUUUAUCAUUGAUCAUGUGACUACAUCUAGACCAAUGGAAAUAUAGAUUUAAUAAUAAAUGCAAACAAAAACGUUUUGAUGCAGUAUUUGCCGUAUUUUAUCCUGUCACUUGCAGUAUUUUCGACCCGAUAUCAGGGUGCCGUAUAUCUUUCUUGAUAUACCGUCAGUUGACAUGUGAGCAGUGAUAUACAGUCAGUUGAUCAUGUGACCUUAUGAUCGAUAUUGUUGUCAUAAGAAAUUUUGCAUUGAAACCAUCACCAUUGUGUUGGAAAUGUCCGAACUAAGAAAAUGAGUGGUCAAAUAAUGAGUUUUUAUUCAAAAACGAAGAAGUUAUAGCGAUUUUUAACUGUAACCACAUUACUGUGUCGGUGAUUACGUCAUUAUAUAAGUGACGUCAUUAGGAAUAAGACGUCAUUAAAACGGUUGUCGCACACUUAUUUUUGUAAAAUAAAUUGCCAAAUAUCGGAAAAUGAAGUAAUGACAAGAUAAAUAGAAUAAUAGGUUAGUGCCUAAGAUGGAGAAAGUUUAUCUGGCUCGGCUCCGGACGUUAUCAGGUUCGCCUUCGGCUCACCCGAUAACCUCCUCCACCUCGCCAGAUAAACUUUCUCAUCUACGGCACUAACCUAUUAUUCUCUAUUUACUUUCAUUUCAGUACAGUUCAUUAAAUUACGUGUUACAUAUUUCAUAUCAGUGGUGAAUACAUGGUGAACGUAUCUUUAUUAUUAUAUUUUUAUACGCCAUAACAAAAAGAAAAAUAUCAGAUAAAGAUAAAAAAAUUUACAUUUCAAGUUGAUUUUACUCUUUGAAAUAAACCGUAAUAUUUUCGGGUUUUGAACGAAUUGAUUUUUAUUAUGUUUUAAGGACUGUCAAAUCCAUUUUUCACUUUCUAGAUCGACUAUACGUAGAUCUUACUGGUGGUGUUUUGUUCCAUGGCAGUGUCUCAUUGCAUUGAGUACCUUUGUUUAUUUUGUUAUUGUCUGUUUGUUCUAAUUCGUCGGUGUGUUUUGGUAUACAUUUCCAUUGUAUUAACAAUAAACAAAGAGUUAUUGUGGCGUGUGUUGGGAAGGGCGUUUUUUAAACAUGGAUAUUCCUAUUUUUGUCCAUGUUUUUACAAGAACAGCAAUACAUUUUAACCUGUAUGUAUGGUUAUGCCAGGUAAAUGUAAUUGGAAGUAAUACCAGGAAACAGCUAUGGGUAGUAAUAUUAGGUCAGAGCAAUUAGUAGUGUUACAAGGUUACAGCAAUGGGUACUUAUACCAGGUCAGUUGUCAUGCUGUAGUAUGAAAAAAACUUAUCGUAAAAGAUAACGACCUCUAUUAAUCUUUUCAAUACUAUCAGUCUUCCUUAAACUAGUGAAGGUUUCUAAUUGAAAAUGGGCCUGGCGAUGUAUGACAUCAAACAGUGUGGGGGAACACGUGACCUAAAAUGAUGCGAAACACUGACAAAAUGGCCGCCACGUACCCGAAUUUGAUGGAAAAUGCGAAGUAAGUGACAUUUUUUAUAAGAUAUAGCGUAGGCUAAGCAGCACAAAAAUCUCUUUCCAACGGUAUAUCACCCUACAUUGUAGUUUUGCUAGUUUCUUAGAUCACAUCGAGGUUUUGAGCGAGUCGAGAACUUUUUCCAAAUAAAAUCGUACGAUGCCUAACACGUAUAGUUAAUAAUUUAUCAAAAAGAAAGAUUUCUAGGUGAUAUUGAUCAAGUUGUUGCUAAUGUUUGUUUAUUGUAUGCAAAAAUGCUCAUUGUCAAAAUUUUGAUACUACGUCACAAAAUAAGAGAAAUAUUAAAUAAAAUGAGAAAAUUAUGCGUUGCAUGUAAAUAUUUUUUGAUGAAAGAUGCUGAACACGAACGUAUUUUUUUAUUAGUUUGGUAGGACAUUAUUUUGCUUCUAAGUACAAUUAUUAUUUCUAAAAAAAGGUUUGAUAGGAAAUUCCCAGUCUUCAAUGAAAUGUCUACACAAAAGGGAAGAUAGUGUGCAGUAUUUGGGAACAUCAUUUCUUUGUUAGAAAUGAAAAUGUGAUCCUUAAAAAGUAACAAAGGAGAGUUUGGUGACAUGUGAAUGAAAUCGUUCUCAAGUCUGACCAGUGUCUAUAAAUUUUAUUCCUUUGUUAUAAAGUAUUGAAUGUGUUUUAGCCAUAAUUGCAUUCAUUUUAUAAGUUUAACUUUCGAAAACUUAUACUUUUCAAUGCGCUACGACUUAAAAAGAUUUUAACGUGCAAAGAAUAUAUGCACAAGCUAUUUUGCAGCAGUGGCACUGAACGACAUUCACUGAAAUUUAGGUGGUGAUUUGCACUUUUCUGUUAUAUAAAUGUUUGUAUGAGAUGCCUCAUCCCAACGAUAGUUGUUUUGGAAUUUACAUAUUAGCAUAGACGGCCUUUGACUGGAAUGUGGGAAGCUAAAUUUACAGCAAGUCAGGAAAGAAGACACAGUAGAAAAGCACCAUACAAAGGAUGUGGAUAUACCUUUUGCAGUAAGGCUAUCACAACAUGACAUAGAUACAGCGCCAAUGACGAAGAAAAGAAGAUUUAAGGCGGCAAAUACCAAAAGAACUUUACACUGCAUAUGGAUUUGCGCUGACGUGAACUUCGGCGUAACUGUGAUUCCAAAAUUGGCAUAUUGAUCAUUCAGAGCGCAAUAACAAGCAAUGUGUGUCUACAGGUACUAUUAAGGACUUUGGACAAUACAGAGAAAAACAUAUAAACUUUAGUGCAUGAUGUCAAUUAACCGAGUAAAAACGGUAAAAAAAAUCCAUACUUCUGGAUCAUAAUUCCCUGGCUCCUUUUCAGACUACAAAACCAUAUCAUAUGUCCAGCCAAAUUAAAGAUAGAUAAAUAAAAAUAAAAUCUGUAUGGAGAGCCUCCUUUGGAAGCAUAGAAUGCAACAAAGCAGAUUAAUAGCUGACUCGGUUUGUUUAAAUCUGUUCAUGAAAAGUAAUGGGAAGUGGCUACUGCCCAAAACCCCUUAUGCCCCUACUAGCAAUGACUAAAGUCAGUAAAGUGGAAUUCUAUUACAAAGAUAUUGAAUGGACUUCAUGAACAACACAAUUCAAAUACGAGGAGACUUUUUACGCCCGACACAUGGCUCUUCAAGAUAGCUGUUAAGAUAGUUGAUAAAAUCUGUAAGAAGAUCCUCCGGAAGCAUUAAAUGCAACCAAGCAAGAUAGUAGUAAACUCGGUUGGACUGAAAUUGUUCAUGAACGGUAAUGUGCAACUCCUCGAACCCACACCGCCUCCACCCCAAACCCAGCAUCAGCUUAUGCGGAAUUCUAUUACAGAGAUAUUGAUAGGACU